RNAcentral lists this ribosomal RNA (692 nucleotides) under uncultured Lachnospiraceae bacterium. Its description in RNAcentral is "bacterial SSU rRNA". It matches the Rfam family "Bacterial small subunit ribosomal RNA", at positions 34 to 727 of the family's 1533-position model. The record is from RNAcentral. Lineage: Bacteria; Bacillati; Bacillota; Clostridia; Lachnospirales; Lachnospiraceae.
CGCUGGCGGCGUGCUUAACACAUGCAAGUCGAACGGGAAACCUUUUAUUGAAGCUUCGGCAGAUUUAGAUUGUUUCUAGUGGCGGACGGGUGAGUAACGCGUGGGUAACCUGCCUUAUACAGGGGGAUAACAGUCAGAAAUGACUGCUAAUACCGCAUAAGCGCACAGAGCUGCAUGGCUCGGUGUGAAAAACUCCGGUGGUAUAAGAUGGACCCGCGUUGGAUUAGCUAGUUGGUGAGGUAACGGCCCACCAAGGCGACGAUCCAUAGCCGGCCUGAGAGGGUGAACGGCCACAUUGGGACUGAGACACGGCCCAGACUCCUACGGGAGGCAGCAGUGGGGAAUAUUGCACAAUGGGGGAAACCCUGAUGCAGCGACGCCGCGUGAAGGAAGAAGUAUCUCGGUAUGUAAACUUCUAUCAGCAGGGAAGAAAAUGACGGUACCUGACUAAGAAGCCCCGGCUAACUACGUGCCAGCAGCCGCGGUAAUACGUAGGGGGCAAGCGUUAUCCGGAUUUACUGGGUGUAAAGGGAGCGUAGACGGAUGGACAAGUCUGAUGUGAAAGGCUGGGGCUCAACCCCGGGACUGCAUUGGAAACUGCCCGUCUUGAGUGCCGGAGAGGUAAGCGGAAUUCCUAGUGUAGCGGUGAAAUGCGUAGAUAUUAGGAGGAACACCAGUGGCGAAGGCGGCUU